CAGGGUACCUUUUGACCCUAUUUAGUUCAACCAAAUGAACUAAAAUUUUAAAAUGACAUAACUUUUUGAAAAACUAGUUCAUUUGUUUGAACUACGGAGGGUCAAAUGGUACCCUG
This is a non-coding RNA of Brachypodium distachyon (stiff brome), 116 nucleotides long. The record is from Rfam. NCBI's taxonomy places the organism in Eukaryota, Viridiplantae, Streptophyta, Magnoliopsida, Poales, Poaceae.